Molecule: long non-coding RNA, 790 nt
Filed under: Vigna radiata
Lineage: Eukaryota; Viridiplantae; Streptophyta; Magnoliopsida; Fabales; Fabaceae
Description: long non-coding RNA (VRAD_LNC010127)
Source: RNAcentral
CUCUUUUUCAUGAGCAGUUCUUUUAGAAACUUAGCAUAUGAGGGCAUUUGUUGAAGUGCCUCAGAAAAUGGUAUGGUUAUUUCCAACUUCCUAAGGAUCUCCAUGAAGCGCUCAAACUGCUUUUCCUUCUCUCUUCUUGAGUAUGUCUUUGGAUAAGGCAAAGGUUUAACAUACUCCCUUUCUCUCAAUUUUUCAACUUCUUCUUUUCUUUUAUCACCCUCAUCAUUUUUCAUAUAUUUUUCUCUCUCUCCAUCUUCCUCUUGCUCACUCUUCUUUUCAACACUCCCUUUUUCUACUCUUCUCUCCAAUACUUUCCCACUUCUAGUAAUCAUUUCACAUGCCUCCCUUUCCUCCUUUGAUCAACAUAGAACAUAUUACUCUUCACGACUUUCUGAAACAUCUCUUCAGAAUCAAUGCUCCUUUGUAUUGGCAUGAAUUGAGGCUAUUCUGAAUUUCUUGAAACAACAAUUAUCUUGUUUUGCUCCACCAUAGAACUAUAAUCCUAUGAUUCUGAAGUUUUCUGCAGAACAUCAGCAUUUUGACUCUGUGCUUCUUCAUCAUCUGCAAUACUUUCAAUCAACUCAUAAGUCUCAUCCUCGAUUUUCAUUCUGAUAUCCCCUCCGGCUGCAACAUUUAUCAUCAUCUUUGAUUGCAUCUGUAGCCCUCCAAGGAAUGCAAAAACUAUGGUUGUCUUAUCAAACCCAUGGACUGGGGUCUUCCUUAACAAGCUUUUAAACCUAUCCCAUGCUUGCCUGAGAGUCUCUAUCAUGCCCUGCUUGAAUGAUGAAAU